UUGCCCUCAUACCUUGUAAUAAUCUC
This 26-nucleotide non-coding RNA is filed under the name Mus musculus (house mouse). The record is from RNAcentral. Lineage: Eukaryota; Metazoa; Chordata; Mammalia; Rodentia; Muridae.